GAUGAACGCUGGCGGCGUGCCUAAUACAUGCAAGUCGAGCGAACAGACGAGGAGCUUGCUCCUCUGACGUUAGCGGCGGACGGGUGAGUAACACGUGGAUAACCUACCUAUAAGACUGGGAUAACUUCGGGAAGCCGGAGCUAAUACCGGAUAAUAUAUUGAACCGCAUGGUUCAAUAGUGAAAGACGGUUUUGCUGUCACUUAUAGAUGGAUCCGCGCCGCAUUAGCUAGUUGGUAAGGUAACGGCUUACCAAGGCAACGAUGCGUAGCCGACCUGAGAGGGUGAUGGGCCACACUGGAACUGAGACACGGUCCAGACGCCUACGGGAGGCAGCAGUAGGGAAUCUUCCGCAAUGGGCGAAAGCCUGACGGAGCAACGCCGCGUGAGUGAUGAAGGUCUUCGGAUCGUAAAACUCUGUUAUUAGGGAAGAACAAAUGUGUAAGUAACUAUGCACGUCUUGACGGUACCGAAUCAGAAAGCCACGGCUAACUACGU
RNAcentral lists this ribosomal RNA (496 nucleotides) under uncultured bacterium. RNAcentral describes it as "partial 16S ribosomal RNA". It matches the Rfam family "Bacterial small subunit ribosomal RNA", at positions 28 to 506 of the family's 1533-position model. The record is from RNAcentral.